AUGGUAGGAUCAGAAGUGUACUCUUCUGAGGUCAAGAAAACUGAGGUGCUGAUGGAAAAUUUCCGUAGAGCUAUAGGCUUGCGUAUAAAGGAAAACAAAGAAGUCUAUGAAGGAGAGGUUACGGAGCUUUCCCCAGAAGAAUCUGAGAGUUCAAAUGGUGGAUAUGGGAAAAGCAUUAGCCAUGUAGUAAUUGGCCUGAAGACUGUAAAAGGGACUAAACAACUAAAGUUAGAUCCUACAAUUUAUGAUGCUUUAAUCAAGGAAAAGGUGGCAGUGGGUGAUGUUAUAUACAUCGAAGCUAACAGCGGUGCAGUGAAAAGAGUUGGCAGAUGUGAUGCUUUUGCUACAGAAUACGAUCUUGAAGCAGAGGAGUAUGUGCCAAUUCCCAAAGGGGAAGUCCACAAGAAAAAAGAAAUAGUGCAGGACGUUACACUGCAUGACCUUGACGCCGCAAAUGCCCAGCCUUAA
Molecule: ribosomal RNA, 468 nt
Filed under: Triticum aestivum (bread wheat)
Lineage: Eukaryota; Viridiplantae; Streptophyta; Magnoliopsida; Poales; Poaceae
Description: partial small subunit ribosomal RNA
Source: RNAcentral